GACGAACCACACAAACGUUAUUCGGAAUUACUGGGCUUAAAGGGUGCGUAGGCGGCGCGGAAAGUUGGGUGUGAAAUCCCUCGGCUCAACCGAGGAACUGCGCUCAAUACUACCGUGCUCGAGGGAGACAGAGGUGAGCGGAACAGACGGUGGAGCGGUGAAAUGCGUAGAUAUCGUCUGGAACGCCGAAGGUGAAAACAGCUCGCUGGGGCUGCGCUGACGCUGAGACACGAAAGCCAGGGGAGCGAACGGG
Molecule: ribosomal RNA, 253 nt
Filed under: uncultured bacterium
Lineage: Bacteria
Description: partial 16S ribosomal RNA
Rfam family: Bacterial small subunit ribosomal RNA
Source: RNAcentral